CUUUACAAUCGAUUCUCCUAUUACUACCCCAAUCUCCAGCCUUAGGCAAGAGAUCCUGCAGUUCCUUUGCCCAACUUCCUGGAGUUACCAUCUUGCAUAACCAUGUACGUUUGUCAAAACCGAGAAAUUAACAUUGCUAUAGUAUCACGAACCAAACUGUCAGCUCUAAUCAGAUUUCACUAAUUUUCUCAUUAAUGUCCUUUUUUCUGCUCCAGGAUCCAUUCCAGGAGUGCACCCAGGAUUGUAUUUAGUAAUCAUGUCUCCUUAAUCUCUUCCGAUCACUUAUUGCAGUGAACUAGCCACAUUUCAAGUUCUCAAUGGCCAUAUGACUCAGGCUACCAUAUUGGAGAGCACAGCUCUAGACCUUUUUGAAACCAGUGCAGGGCAGGCCGGGAUCUUGAUAUUUGGCUGCUUUGUGAAGGCAAAGUGGGAGCAGAGAGACUGCUGGGAGGUGACUGUGACUGGGUAGAGAUUUGGACCAGGAGAGAGCGAGAGAAGAUGCUGGACCAUGCUGCCAUUCUGGAGGAGAGGCGGAGGGAUUUUCGAGCCCAUGAAAAUGUCAGAGAAUCCACCAUAACAAGAGGCCAUUGGGAGCUUGGCCAAGGGUAUCAUGCGAUUGGAUAUCUCAAGGUUGCUUGUGACAAACAUGAAACUGGAGGUCCAAGACCCUCUGCGCCUUUUCUGGCACCACUAGUGUGAAAUGAGCUGACAGAAGAUACCAACAUGGAGAGCUUCACCCCCACGGCCCACAGCAGACACAUCACAGAGUUACCAGGAAUUCCA
Molecule: non-coding RNA, 783 nt
Organism: Chlorocebus sabaeus (green monkey)
Lineage: Eukaryota; Metazoa; Chordata; Mammalia; Primates; Cercopithecidae
Source: RefSeq, a predicted model, not a curated record